RNAcentral lists this ribosomal RNA (454 nucleotides) under uncultured Sphingomonas sp. RNAcentral's name for it is "bacterial SSU rRNA". It matches the Rfam family "Bacterial small subunit ribosomal RNA", at positions 930 to 1382 of the family's 1533-position model. The record is from RNAcentral. Lineage: Bacteria; Pseudomonadati; Pseudomonadota; Alphaproteobacteria; Sphingomonadales; Sphingomonadaceae.
CGGUGGAGCAUGUGGGUUUAAUUCGAAGCAACGCGCAGAACCUUACCAGCGUUUGACAUGGUAGGACGACUGGCAGAGAUGCCUUUCUUCCCUUCGGGGACCGUACACACAGGUGCUGCAUGGCUGUCGUCAGCUCGUGUCGUGAGAUGUUGGGUUAAGUCCCGCAACGAGCGCAACCCUCGACUUUAGUUACCAUCAUUAAGUUGGGUACUUUAAAGUAACCGCCGGUGAUAAGCCGGAGGAAGGUGGGGAUGACGUCAAGUCCUCAUGGCCCUUACGCGCUGGGCUACACACGUGCUACAAUGGCAAGUACAGUGGGCAGCAAUCCCGCGAGGGUGAGCUAAUCUCCAAAACUUGUCUCAGUUCGGAUUGUUCUCUGCAACUCGAGAGCAUGAAGGCGGAAUCGCUAGUAAUCGCGGAUCAGCAUGCCGCGGUGAAUACGUUCCCAGGCCUU